RNAcentral lists this long non-coding RNA (1252 nucleotides) under Androctonus crassicauda. Lineage: Eukaryota; Metazoa; Arthropoda; Arachnida; Scorpiones; Buthidae. The record is from RNAcentral.
CUUGCUACUACCGUAAUAAUUCUUCUUCUAUUUGUUGGUACAUAUUUUCUCAUAUCAAGAAAAUGUAAAACAAAAACUUCAACACCUCAAACGACAAUUCCACUUACUGUACUUUCCACACAAUCAACAACCCAUUCUGGGGAGAGAAGUUCACCAACCAACGAAGAACCUCAAGAGCUGCAGAAAAAACCUCCAGAACCUAGCAGUCGUAGUCUCAUCAAAUAUGGACCAAUAACAUUUUGAACUUUUGAAGAAAUUUCUUAUACUGAUAACAAUUAAUAUCAGUGUAUAUUUUAUAUUUCAAGUGUUUUUUUUAAGUUGUGUAAUGAAUAAUAUAGCUACUAAAAGAAAACCAAAAGAACUGUGACUAUAAUUUUCAUGAAAAAAGGAAGAGAAAAGGGGAAAAGAAAAAAAAAGGGAGAAGAAAAAGAACUUAUCAAAGAAUGAAAAUGAGUGAAAAUGUUCAUCAAACACAGUGGAGUGAUGUCAAGACCGAGACUGUCAACAUCCAUUAUAAUCACUUUCACUUAUAAUAUCACUUAUAUAAUAUGUUUUUCUUGUAUGUGUACUUAUAUAUAUAUAUCUUCGUAUUGUAUAACCCGAAAAUUUAUAUUAAAUAUGUAAUCGCGACGGUAUAAUGAUACUCAGGGAAAUCGGUGAUCUUCCGUGAGAAUGUUGCAUUGUUUAAUAUCACACGGUCGGAAGAAACGAACAACAUCCGGAGGAAGUUGAAUAAGCAAACGGAGGGGAGAGCAGCAGUUGGAGUAGAGCGGCCGACGAAAGAGGACAUCAUCAUCGGUCCUCUGGCCAAAGUGUCCAAAAACACCUGGGACUGGGUCCUGCAAAAAAAGGAGGAGUAAGACAACAAUUUCUCCCGAGAACGGAUAAGAAAUCCUCUCUCCCCAGGCCUCUUUCCAAUCUGGGAGAUUAAUUAAAGGAUGGAGCCAGUUCCAGCCACAGGCUGCACCAACACCCAUGGAAGGGGAUUGGAUGGUGAAGGAUGGGGAUUGUCAUGCUGGACCCAGAAUCCCCAAAAUAACUUUUCAGGAUAUGCCAGAUUCAGUGUGGCAUGCCACACUGAAUCUGCCACAGAACCUGAAUCCUGUGGCAGAAUCUCCAGCAUGCCACCAUGUUACCACUGGACUAUCUGGCUGCUACAAUUAAACUAUUGUAGAAAUGUUAAAAGAAAAUAGUCUGAGAUUAUUUAAGACACAGUUGAAGGCUGUUAUUUGUCAAUUGUUGAUAGGUGAAG